Molecule: ribosomal RNA, 301 nt
Filed under: uncultured bacterium
Lineage: Bacteria
Description: partial 16S ribosomal RNA
Rfam family: Bacterial small subunit ribosomal RNA
Source: RNAcentral
CAGUCGCCGCGGGAAUACAGAGGGUGCGAGCGUUAAUCGGAUUUACUGGGCGUAAAGAGUGCGUAGGCGGCUUCUUAAGUCGGAUGUGAAAUCCCUGAGCUUAACUUAGGAAUUGCAUUCGAUACUGGGAAGCUAGAGUAUGGGAGAGGAUGGUAGAAUUCCAGGUGUAGCGGUGAAAUGCGUAGAGAUCUGGAGGAAUACCGAUGGCGAAGGCAGCCAUCUGGCCUAAUACUGACGCUGAGGUACGAAAGCAUGGGGAGCAAACAGGAUUAGAUACCCGCGUAGUCCCUGUCUCUUAUAC